Molecule: ribosomal RNA, 253 nt
Filed under: uncultured bacterium
Lineage: Bacteria
Description: partial 16S ribosomal RNA
Rfam family: Bacterial small subunit ribosomal RNA
Source: RNAcentral
UACGUAGGGAGCAAGCGUUGUCCGGAAUCAUUGGGCGUAAAGCGCGCGUAGGCGGCCUCGUAAGUCCGUUGUGAAAGUCAAAGGCUCAACCUUUGAAAGCCGAUGGAUACUGUGAGGCUAGAGUCCGGAAGAGGCGAGUGGAAUUCCUGGUGUAGCGGUGAAAUGCGCAGAUGUCAGGAGGAACACCGAUGGCGAAGGCAGUGUUCUGGGCCAGUACUGACGCUGAGGAGCGAAAGCGUGGGGAGCAAACAGG